GUAGGUGAACCUGCGGAAGGAUCACUAAAGAGAACCUGCCCUUUGGGUAGAUCUCCCACCCUUUGUUUAUUAUACUUUGUUGCUUUGGCGGGCCUGCCUCGCGGCUGCCGGCGUGAGCUGGCUCGCGCCCGCCAGAGACCCCUAAACUCUGAAUAUUGUCGUCUGAGUAACAUAUAAUAAGUUAAAACUUUCAACAACGGAUCUCUUGGUUCUG
This 214-nucleotide unclassified non-coding RNA is filed under the name rhizosphere metagenome. RNAcentral's name for it is "partial ribosomal RNA internal transcribed spacer region". The record is from RNAcentral.